Molecule: RNA transcript, 2992 nt
Organism: Pezoporus occidentalis (night parrot)
Lineage: Eukaryota; Metazoa; Chordata; Aves; Psittaciformes; Psittacidae
Gene: GLT1D1
Gene name: glycosyltransferase 1 domain containing 1
Exons: 13
Source: RefSeq, a predicted model, not a curated record
CAAAUAUGUGUAUGUAUCGCAGUGUAAGCAGUGACUAAUAUAAUGUACUCUAAGAAAUGACCUUUCAAACUUACUGAAUGACUGAAAUUUUCCCUGUUUGGUUACUUCCUAGUAUAACACCCAAAAUCUGGAACUUCAUUUUAGAAACGUUAAUAUCCCUAAGCAGUGCUAUUGGCUUCCAUGAGAGUUUCAGUAGAAAGAUAAGGCAGAGCAAGGCAAAUUCUGUAUCAAGCAAUAAUCAGUGGUUGGUAAGACACUUGGAAAUUUAUCUACCAUGUACAAAAACUGUGACAGAGAUAAAAUGUGGCCAUGAGAUUUAGCAUUCUCAGUGUUAUCUUAGAUUCACAGACAGCAGGAGACUGUGAAUGUUCAUUUUUAUUUUUCGUUCAGAAAGUAUUUGUUUAUGAAAUGGCAAAAUAAUGUGAAUACACAGUUGCCAGGAGGAGAAAGGAUGGGUAAUGUAUCUCUUAUGUCUUGGCUUGAUUCAGGGACAUCUGUGACUUUGCAGACAGAUCAGCCUUCAAAAAAAGUCUGCAGUAACUUUGCAGCACCCUCUUAUCAUGUUUCUUGAUAACAGCAUAUGUGUGAAAAUCUGCUUUUUUUAUUAUAAAGAUGAAAAGUCAUUUAGCAAAUACAAAAAUAUCACUGCAAAUUUCAGUAUUUAAAUACUGCCCAAUAUCUCUGCUUCCAUGCACAUAUAUUUCCAUAUAUGCAUAAUCCGAAGCCUGUGACUAAUCAUGUUGAGCUCAAUAGUAUGUUUAUGAGAUUAAAGCCUCUUUACAUCUGGGAAUUUGAAUGUUUCUGGGAAUAAUUUGAUUUUUUUUUCCUUGUUAAGCUAUAUGCAAAUUUUUUACAUGCUCUUGAGUCAUUAUGCAUAGAAAAAAAAAGUUGAAAUAAUAGAGGUAAAACACAAUUUGUGAGCCUUGGAAUACUUGAGGGAGUCCCCUUCUAUUUACUGCAGAAACAGCUGCCAUUCAGCUGUGAGAUUUGGAGCUGUGGAGACUGUGGAGGAAAGAAGUAGUAUUCCUUCCUAGUGUAUUAAAAAAGAUGCUUUAGAUCAACAUUCCUAACUGAGUUUCUUGAUUCCCGAUGUCCUGAGAGAGUUAUUUUCAAAUUAAUUGUAAUAUGCAAACAUAUUGCUUGUACAUGAUAGUGAUUUAUGGUAAUUGCAAUACUGAUGGGGAAAGGAAUCUUUCAGACUACUUAAUGAGCACCUGUGAAAUUAUGGAAUACAGGCAUGAGCAUCCCAACUAUUUGCCCAAGAGAGUUUCUUUCCACAGCUGUGAGAUUUGGGCAUCAUUAUUUAGUUAUAAAUUGAGAGCCUCUUCCAAAAAGCAAGCAGGUACUUGGAACAAGUUCAUGGGACAGCUGAUGUAAGUAAUUGCUCAACAGUGUAAAUAAGGAGCUUACAAUCUGGCUGUACUUUAUUAUUUACUAGUACUUAUUGCAGUUUAUUGGUCUUGUUUCAAAUGGUGAAGUUAAAAGUAAAAUGAGUUUCUUUUUAGAAUAAGGAAGAAAUACAGCACCAUAUGUUGUGCCAAUGGAGCUCUGUCUGAUAUAGUGCUAAUACAUUCCUUCCAAGGCCUCUAGACAUUUUACAACAUUUUUAGCACCAAUUUCUGCAGUAAUGACUAACUUCUUCAGGACAGAAAAUUACAUUCCUUGGGAGGAUAUGAAAUGAUCAAGAAACGAAACAGCGACAUUAUCCAAGAAGCCAUUGAGUUAGGAUUUUAAUGCCAGAGCAAUUAAUACGCUAUGAGAAAUAAAUCAACUGGAACAAUAUGUGAUAAGCAGAAAGCAUUCUUGUGGUCUUUUUAUAAUACUGAAAAUGUAAACAGUACAUGUCAGCAGAUACAAUGUGCUAGUUUUUAUCAAAAUAUGGAUUUUCUCAGAAACGUGGGUUUGAUCAAUGGAAACAUUGAUAAAUGACUCUGGUUUCCGUGGGAAGAAUUGUGAGCCUGAGUAUAAAAGAAAAGGCUAAAACAAAGCUCACCGAAAUGCCUAAAGUAAAGCUCCCUGUAGUCAAUCAGUUUCUUGACUUUGGCAGUCUUUCAAUCAAUGUUUUAAUAUUAGGAACCAUAAGGAUGAAUAGGAAUCAUCUACAUGCUGCAGGUCACAUCUGUGUUCUUAAAGAUGCUUUCAUGUAUGAAAGUCAAACUGAAAUAGCAAACCUAAUCUCCACAGACAAGUUUGAUGGAGCCCUGGCCAUUCAUCUUUAUAAAGGAGGCAGACUUCUGCAAGGUAGCAAAAUUCCUUUUGGAAUCAUCUUUGGUGGGACAGAUGUAAAUGAAGAUGUCAAAUGUGAAGAGAAACAUCGGGUAAUGGGAGCAGUGCUAGAAGAAGCCAGGUUUGCAGUGGCUUUCACGGUGAAAAUGAAGGAACUGGCAGCAGCAGAGUGGCCAGAUGCUAGGAAGAAAAUAUAUGUCCAGACUCAAGGAAUUAAGACUACACCCAAGGAAACAUUUGACUGGUAUAGACUUCUACAAAAUGCAGGUAUUCCUACAGAUACAGACAGUUUACAUGUUUUUCUCUUGAUAUGUGGACUUCGAAGAGUCAAAGACCCCCUGUAUUUAGUAGAUGUCUUUUCGGAUUGGCACAGAAAGGAACCCAGCAUCCAUCUGGGCAUAAUUGGACCUGCAGUUGAUCCCCUUUUUACCAGUGAAGUUAAGGAAAAAGUUAAAAGGGCACCUGGGGUACACUUAUUACAGGAGAUGCCCCAAGAUGAUCUUCAUGCUGCUAUGAAAAGGUGCUUUGCUGUGGUGAACAGCUCCAUUUCAGAGGGGAUGUCUGCUGCAAUUCUGGAGAAAGCUCAGGAGUUCUGCAUGUUCCUGGGCAUGUGAUGGUGAAAAAGGCAUUACUACUGGAAAAGCUUGCAAUGGAUUUAAACAUUCCAGUGCUGGCAAGGAACAUUCCUGGGAAUGCAGCAAUAAUAAAACAUAAGGAAACAGGACUGCUAUUUUCAAAUCCUCAGGAGUUUGUUGUGCUGUCCAAG